RNAcentral lists this ribosomal RNA (253 nucleotides) under uncultured bacterium. RNAcentral's name for it is "partial 16S ribosomal RNA". It matches the Rfam family "Bacterial small subunit ribosomal RNA", at positions 524 to 776 of the family's 1533-position model. The record is from RNAcentral.
GACGUAGGAGGCGAGCGUUGUCCGGAAUUACUGGGCGUAUAGGGCGCGUAGGCGGUCCGUCACGCCAUUGGUGAAAGGCAGCGGCUCAACCGCUGAGCAGCCAGUGGAACGGACGGACUGGAGGGUCGGCGAGGUUGGUAGAAUUCCCGGUGUAGUGGUGAAAUGCGUAGAGAUCGGGAGGAAUACCCGUGGCGAAGGCGGCCAACUGGACGACACCUGACGCUGAGGCGCGAAGGCGUGGGGAGCGAACGGG